AUUCGAUUGAGACCACGGGUCAAUCGAGCCGACACGGAUGACCUCUCUUCCUCAGGGCGGCAUGGAGAAAACGGCGGCGGCGGUGGCGGUGGCGGCCGAAGAGGAGCCGGAGGAAGCGUGGGCGUGGACCUGGGGCGCGGGCACGGACGGGCAGCUGGGGAACGGCGGCUUCCAGGACUAUCAUCUCCCGCAGCCGCUCCUCCUCCCGCCUCGCUGCCGCGGCCGCGUUUCCUUCGUCGCCGGCGGCGGCGCCCACGCCAUCGCCCUCACAAGUGAUGGUGAAGUAUUUACUUGGGGCAGAGGUACCCAUGGUCAGCUUGGCCAUGGGAACAUAGAGAACAUCCCUCAUCCAAAGUCCGUUAAGUUCUUUGAAAACUAUACAGUAACCUGUGUGUCUACUGGAUGGAACCAUUCUGGAUUUGCUACAGGUCUCCAAAUUCUGAAACCAUUCAUUUACGUUUUACUUCUAUUUUGGUCUUCACGUUUCAUGCCAGCCCGUUUCUUAUUUUGUUUUGCUUUAGAACGGUUGUCUUAUUUUGUUUGGAAAGUGAAUUGUCACUGAUGAGCUUUGCUGUGAUGUUUCUAGUUGUUAUUUUCAGAUUCUGGGCAACUCUUCAUGUGCGGAGAUGGCUCAUUUGGACAGCUUGGCACUGGUGAUACUCAGUCAAGGAACUUGCCAUUUGAAGUGCCAUCCUUUACCACAAAGCAUGUCGAGAAGCUUGCAUUUGGGAUGCGCCAUUCUCUUGUCCUAUUGAAAGAUAAUUCAGUUUAUGGAUUUGGCUCAGCAAGACGGGGACAAGUUGGCAAAUCUGCUUCCAAAAAUCAGAAGUUUUGUAAUACUCCUAGAUUAAUUGAUGGUUUUCCAAACUGCAAAAUAGUGAAUUUAUAUGCCAAUGGAGAUCAUAGUGCUGCAUUGGAUGAAUCUGGCCAGUUGUACAUCUGGGGAAGAGCAUUAGUUGGUGAACAUGAUGAUGACCAACCUCGGGCAGCCUUUCCCUCUUUGAGUAUUUCUCAAGUGGCAUUAGGAUGGCAUCAUGCACUAGUUUUAUCUGGAGGUGAAUUGUACACCAUUGGUGCUUACCGCCAUCAGAAGUGUGACCCUUCUGUGUCAGAAAAUGCAGUAGCGCAGAAACUGAAUCUUACCACAACAAGCAGUAAACAUCAUGAAUCAUUUUCAGUGUCAAAUUUAGCGAAGGUGCCCUCUAUUCAUGGACAGCAGGUGACCCAGAUAGCAGCCGGCACUGAACAUUCAGCUUUGGUGACAGACAGCGGAGCAUUGUUCACCUGGGGCUGGGGAGAGCACGGGCAACUGGGCUUGGGAGAUACUUGUGAUCAGGUGGUUCCUCGGAGAGUAAAUCUAGGCGACGAGGGCUCACGUUCUUCUGCUUCGCUCAGCGUGUACUGUGGGAGCGGAUUUACCGUCGCCGUGAGCCUGCCUUAGUGGCAGAUGUACUGUUGUACCACCGUAUUUUGGUUAUGUCUCCACACAGUAUGUCAGAAAGGUGAACACCAGUGUAGAUGCUUUCUUGUAAUGCUGUUGGAGAGUGAAGGAGGAACGCAACAGGAUUUGCUCCGUGUGUGUAUGAAUGAACCACUUGUUGUCUAGUAUUAUAAUCCGGCUCGGGGCAGCAAUAUUGUUGCAUCCCGCGAUUUGGACUUGUCAACUGGAGUAUUAGUGAAAAUGGAAGAUGGAAUAAUACAGACACCGUACUGUCCGGUGCCAUUCAUAAUU
This 1732-nucleotide ribosomal RNA is filed under the name Triticum aestivum (bread wheat). RNAcentral's name for it is "partial small subunit ribosomal RNA". Lineage: Eukaryota; Viridiplantae; Streptophyta; Magnoliopsida; Poales; Poaceae. The record is from RNAcentral.